RNAcentral lists this ribosomal RNA (403 nucleotides) under Verrucomicrobiota bacterium. RNAcentral's name for it is "Verrucomicrobia bacterium partial 16S ribosomal RNA". It matches the Rfam family "Bacterial small subunit ribosomal RNA", at positions 355 to 776 of the family's 1533-position model. The record is from RNAcentral. Lineage: Bacteria; Pseudomonadati; Verrucomicrobiota.
UGGGGAAUAUUGCACAAUGGGGGAAACCCUGAUGCAGCGACGCCGCGUGAGCGAAGAAGGUUUUCGAAUCGUAAAGCUCUGUCCUAUGAGAAGAUAAUGACGGUAUCAUAGGAGGAAGCCCCGGCUAAAUACGUGCCAGCAGCCGCGGUAAUACGUACGGGGCGAGCGUUGUCCGGAAUUAUUGGGCGUAAAGGGUACGUAGGCGGUCUAUUAAGUCAGGUGUGAAAGCGUGAGGCUUAACCUCAUUAAGCACUUGAAACUGAUAGACUUGAGUGAAGGAGAGGAAAGUGGAAUUCAUAGUGUAGCGGUGAAAUGCGUAGGUAUUAGGAGGAAUACCGGUGGCGAAGGCGACUUUCUGGACUUUUACUGACGCUCAGGUACGAAAGCGUGGGGAGCAAACAGG